CGAACGCUGGCGGCGCGCCUAACACAUGCAAGUCGAACGAGAGAUGAAGAGCUUGCUCUUCAAAUCGAGUGGCGAACGGGUGAGUAAUGUCUGGGAAACUGCCUGAUGGAGGGGGAUAACUACUGGAAACGGUAGCUAAUACCGCAUAACGUCGCAAGACCAAAGAGGGGGACCUUCGGGCCUCUUGCCAUCAGAUGUGCCCAGAUGGGAUUAGCUAGUAGGUGGGGUAACGGCUCACCUAGGCGACGAUCCCUAGCUGGUCUGAGAGGAUGACCAGCCACACUGGAACUGAGACACGGCCCAGACUCCUACGGGAGGCAGCAGUGGGGAAUAUUGCACAAUGGGCGCAAGCCUGAUGCAGCAACGCCGCGUGGAGGAAGACGGUUUUCGGAUUGUAAACUCCUGUCGUUAGGGACGAUAAUGACGGUACCUAACAAGAAAGCACCGGCUAACUACGUG
RNAcentral lists this ribosomal RNA (459 nucleotides) under uncultured bacterium. RNAcentral's name for it is "bacterial SSU rRNA". It matches the Rfam family "Bacterial small subunit ribosomal RNA", at positions 30 to 507 of the family's 1533-position model. The record is from RNAcentral.